Molecule: non-coding RNA, 123 nt
Organism: Chelonoidis abingdonii (Abingdon island giant tortoise)
Lineage: Eukaryota; Metazoa; Chordata; Testudines; Testudinidae
Source: RefSeq, a predicted model, not a curated record
GCUUGGGCUCUAGUCCUCCUGCCUGGGAUAGUGGGGCUUGGGCGGGCUCAUGCUUUGGUCCCCACUCCUGGGGUCGUGUAGUAAUUUUUGUUGUCAGAAGGGGGUCACGAUGCAAUGAAGUUU